This 468-nucleotide ribosomal RNA is filed under the name uncultured bacterium. Its description in RNAcentral is "partial 16S ribosomal RNA". It matches the Rfam family "Bacterial small subunit ribosomal RNA", at positions 28 to 507 of the family's 1533-position model. The record is from RNAcentral.
GAUGAACGCUGGCGGCGUGCUUAACACAUGCAAGUCGAACGGAAAGGCCCAAGCUUGCUUGGGUACUCGAGUGGCGAACGGGUGAGUAACACGUGGGUGAUCUGCCCUGCACUUCGGGAUAAGCCUGGGAAACUGGGUCUAAUACCGGAUAGGACGAUGGUUUGGAUGCCAUUGUGGAAAGUUUUUUCGGUGUGGGAUGAGCUCGCGGCCUAUCAGCUUGUUGGUGGGGUAAUGGCCUACCAAGGCGUCGACGGGUAGCCGGCCUGAGAGGGUGUACGGCCACAUUGGGACUGAGAUACGGCCCAGACUCCUACGGGGGGCAGCAAUGGGGAAUAUUGCACAAUGGGCGCAAGCCUGAUGCAGCGACGCCGCGUGGGGGAUGACGGCCUUCGGGUUGUAAACUCCUGUCGCUAGGGACGAAGCGUUUUUGUGACGGUACCUGGAGAAGAAGCACCGGCUAACUACGUG